Molecule: ribosomal RNA, 593 nt
Filed under: Hysterangium epiroticum
Lineage: Eukaryota; Fungi; Basidiomycota; Agaricomycetes; Hysterangiales; Hysterangiaceae
Description: eukaryotic LSU rRNA
Rfam family: Eukaryotic large subunit ribosomal RNA
Source: RNAcentral
CUAACAAGGAUUCCCCUAGUAACGGCGAAUGAAGCGGGAAGAGCUCAAAUUUGUAAUCUGGCGGUCUCCGGCCGUCCGAGUUGUAGUCUGGAGAAGCGUCUUCCGUGCCGGACCGUGUACAAGUCCCUUGGAACAGGGCGUCGUAGAGGGUGAGAAUCCCGUCUCUGACACGGACUGCCGGUGCUCUGUGAUGCGCUCUCGAAGAGUCGAGUUGUUUGGGAAUGCAGCUCAAAAUGGGUGGUAAAUUCCAUCUAAAGCUAAAUAUUGGCGAAAGACCGAUAGCGAACAAGUACCGUGAGGGAAAGAUGAAAAGCACUUUGGAAAGAGAGUUAAACAGUACGUGAAAUUGUUGAAAGGGAAACGCUUGAAGUCAGUCGCGUCUUCCGAGACUCAGCCGGGUCUUUUGACCCGGUGUACUUCUCGGUGUCGACGGGCCAGCAUCGAUUUUGACUGUCGGAGAAAGGCUCAGGGAACGUGGCACCUUCGGGUUGUGUUAUAGCCCUCUGUCGUAUGCGACGGUCGGGAUCGAGGACCGCAGCGUGCCCUUCACCGGGCCGGGGUUCGCCCACGUAACGCGCUUAGGAUGCUGGCGU